AUACGGAAGGUCCGGGCGUUAUCCGGAUUUAUUGGGUUUAAAGGGAGCGCGGGCGGAGAUGCAAGCGUGACGUCAAAUUUCGGGGCUCAACCCCGUCUCGCGUCGCGAACUGCGUCCCUUGGUUGCGGGAAGGGGAGGCGGAACUCGUGGUGUAGCGGUGAAAUGCAUAGAUAUCACGAAGAACUCCGAUCGCGAAGGCAGCCUUCCGGCCCGUCAACGACGCUCAUGCUCGAAGGUGCGGGUAUCGAACAGGAUUAGAUACCCUGGUAGUCCGCACAGUAAACGAUGGAUACUCGCUGUCGGCGAUAUACGGUCGGAGGCCAAGCGAAAGCGUUAAGUAUCCCACCUGGGGAGUACGCCGGCAACGGUGAAACUCAAAUGAAUUGACGGGG
This 392-nucleotide ribosomal RNA is filed under the name uncultured bacterium. Its description in RNAcentral is "partial 16S ribosomal RNA". It matches the Rfam family "Bacterial small subunit ribosomal RNA", at positions 523 to 918 of the family's 1533-position model. The record is from RNAcentral.